Carica papaya (papaya) is the source of this 2158-nucleotide non-coding RNA. Lineage: Eukaryota; Viridiplantae; Streptophyta; Magnoliopsida; Brassicales; Caricaceae. The record is from RefSeq and is a predicted model, not a curated record.
UUGUUCAGGGUGCUCAUGCGAGUUGCAAAGAUAAUAGAGGGGGCACAUGGAGAGGUUUUUGUGGACCAGAGUGGUGGAGAGAUAGGUAUCACUUAGACAAGUGAAAGGUUUGUUGUCAGUCCAAGAGUUCAUGGGGAUUAGGUAUUAGGAAUCUUAGGUAAAAAACAUAUCUCUAUUGGCUAAAUGGAUUUGGCACUUUAUCUAUGGGACAAACUGUGCCGGAAGGUGAUGAAUGGUGUUCAGUUGGAUGGUAGGGACGGCUGGGAUGCCAGAACAGGAAGAUCUAUAUCCUGUAGCAGUCCCUAGAAAGCUAUCUCCGAAGUUUAUGCACUAUUCCUUCCCUUAACCAGAUUACAAGUGGAAGAUGGCUCUAAAGCCAUGUUUUAGGAAGGCACAUGGGUAGGGUGGCAACUGUUGGCCACACAUUUUCCCUGACUGUUACAUUAUCCUUUAGUCCCAAUGCAUCUGUUUCAUACUUCAUAUCCAUAUCAGAAGGAAGAGUUGCAUGGAACCUCUACUUUAAAUGUAACCUAACCGAAAGGGAGGCUUCUGAAAUGCAAAUCUUAUCAACCCUGCUAGAGCCAAUUCAGAUUGCAAAUCAACCAGACACCAAAGUUUGGACCCUAGAACCCUCAGGCUUAUACUCUUGCAAGUCCUUCGAUCACCUAAAAAAAUACAAUAUCUAGCCAUUUCCCUAUUGCAGUAUUUACGUGGAUAGCUAUCCAUCAAAAGCUUAACAUCAAUAAGAUGUUAAAAGUCUGUAGGCCUCUGGCACUGUCCCCGAAUAUCUGUGUUAUGUGCUGUAAGGAGAGAGAUGCACAUCUUUUCUUUCAUUGUAAGAAUUGAAGUUGUGGGCCAAACUCAUUGAUCUAUUUGGUCUUUAUUGGUUUGUCCCUACGACAGUUGAGAGAAACGGAAGGGUGCAAAGUUCCCAUGGCAAGGGGUGAUAUUUGCAGGAUUAUGUGUGAUUUGGCUGGAAAUAAACAGCAGAAUUUUUUAUGACCGAUGUUCUUCUUUCCAGGAGUUGUGGGAUAGGGUUACAUUUUUUUCUAUAUUAUGGAAGAAAAGUCGCAGGAAAUAUUCUGAGAUAGCCAUCUCAGAGCUUCACCUGGAUUUCUGAACUCUUUGUUUCUAUUUCUUAGAGUAUUUUCGUUCAUGUUUUUUUUUCUAAUGCAUCUGAUACAAUUCUUUGGGGGAUCUCUUGUUCUCUGCAUUUACUUUUCUCUCUUAUUCUAAUAAAGCUUUCUUUCGAUUAAAAAAAUUAAUGCACUUCUGUUUGCUAUAUUACUUGAUAAGAUGUGUUAUUCUAAAGAAUAUUGUUUCCUGAGGAAACACAACCACCUAGGCUACCCAUGCUCUAGGUUGGUAGCCUUUCCAUUGGCACUAAUUACAGCCAAGCAAGGAUAAUCUAAAACUCACAAGGAAGAGAUCAAGAGUUUCUAAAUCCUAAUGAAACUUUAAAUCUCCUAAAUCUAGUUAAACUUACCUAGCGUAAACAAUUUAAAAACAUGCAAAACACUAAGUUUCAUACCUAUUCUAAAAACAUUUAAUGAUCUUUCAGUUUGACUUAUUCUGAUUGCACAACAAGUACUCUGUAAAGUUCAAAACAAAACAAAUGCUUCUAUUUGUUCUUAUAGUAAUGUUUUCUCCAAUAUCCUUUUCAAGUGGAUGAUAAAGUAAAGAGUUUCUUUGGAGCUGCAGGUGUCUUACAUAUUUGCGGAGUCCCCAUUUAGGGUUUUUUCAGAUGCUGUUAAAAGUGGAGGAAUUAUCAAAGCAUUAUGUGUACCUUCUGGUGCUAAAAGUUAUUCAAACACAGCUCUCAAGAAAGGUGAUAUUUACAAUGAGGCAAUCAAGUCUGGUGCAAAGGGUUUGCCUUUCCUGAAGGUGUUGGAUGAUGGUGAAGUUGAGGGAAUUCAGGCACUAGUUACUAGUAUGAAUCCAACAAAUAAAAUAGACUUAUUGAGACAAUGUGCAGCAGGGCCAGGUGAUCUUAUACUGUUUGGCGUGGGCCCUCAUGUAUCAGUGAAUAAAACUCUAGAUCGACUUAGGUUAUUUGUAGCCCAUGAACUUGGUUUGAUUGAUGAUACCAGGGAUUCAAUUCUAUGGGUGACCGACUUCCCAAUGUUUGAGUGGAAUGAUUCAGAGCAGAGGCUUGAGG